UUCGUCAACCCGCUGUGCACGUUUGGCUUUAGAUCGAGCGGCGGCGCUCCUGAUCCGGUCGGGACAUGUAGGACGAUGGCGGCAGGGCUCCGGAAAGUGGGGAAGUCGCAGACGUCGGGGCGAGGCGGAUCAGGUCAAGAUCCAGUGCGGCGACCGGCGCUCCAUGGUCGUGGCGCCUCGGUCUCCUAGGAAGAAGAGACGUGGGAGAGAGAGGAGGUGAGAUGGGGAGAAGAGAAGGCAGAGUAAGGACAUCAAAGAUUUCGGUGGUGGCUCAGGUCGGCGGAUCCAGGUAUGUGUCCCGAUUCCUCUCCUCCCCGUAAAAAGCGUAUCUCGCGUCGUUGCUAACUGCUAGAGAUGCUGGUUCAUCCUGUGGCCAACAACAACCUCCAGGUCGCGUGAGAGUUCAGUGGCAUGGGCAUGCUCUCCCUAAUUGAUUUUGUAUCAGAGAUUUUGUUCUAGCUUGUGGGCAGCACCCAUGAGUGUUGGAAGUACACGUUCUAUAUACAUAACAGCUUCUCUGGUGACUUAGUCAUCUAAUGGUCAGAUACAAUUUUAGCAACAGUGAAUAGCCGCCCGAUAGUUUUGUUAUCUGCUUCUGAAUGUUCAUAAUGUGUAAAGCGGAUCAAUUUACUUGAGAAGUUGAAUCUGCAAAGUCUUGAGAACAUUGACUAUAUACUCCAACACUGCAGGCCAACUCUUGGUAGAUUUCUAAUGUGCUGCUGGCCACUGAAUUUUUUCUGUCGUGUAGCCGCUCCCCAUCUCAGCGUGUGCUAUCCAUGGAAGCCGGCUCCUCCACUCAAGCCCUCCUAUGCAACGCCGACGAGGAUGCUACUUCGUCUGAACCAAUCUUCACGACCACGUGCAGGUAUACACAUGUGCUCCCCUGCCACCCCUGCACUGAUUUAAGGCGAAAUCCAAUUGGGAGUUAUUGAUAGGCACCAAUGUAUUCUUGGUUCAGUUCCCCUGUCUUGUAUUACGUUGAUCCUUUUGGUAAGAUCAAACUGAACAUACUGAACAUCAUUUGCCCAAACAAGCUGAACGCCUUGUUACAUUGUUGCCCAAUUCUGUAAAAUUGAUCAUAGCACUCCUGCUAUCAUGUCAUGUUUGCUAAUACUUAUUGAGCUAUAAAACAAUGUUUUCUGUUUAUAAGCUAGCCCUUCUUAUUAUGUUUCAGAAGAUUAAUAGUACCCAUUACGUUACUAUAGUACAGUGUGAUAUGCAGAACCUGAGUUUUGGUUGCCAAGCAAAUGUUUGUGCUAAUUCCCACAAGAAAUUUGUGUUUGAAGAAUUAUUACUUUAUCAGGGAAAUAUCUUUUAUAUGGCUUCAUGAAAUCAAAUAUGACACUAGAUUUGCAGAAUGACUAAGCGGCAUAGGAAAUUGAUUUAGCACUACCUCAUUAAACAUGAAGACUUAUUCUUGAUUUUGUGUUGAUGUUUCAGAUGUAAUUUUUCUCAUAUGACAUCAGGGAUGUAGGUUGAUUGGGUGAACAAGCUUCCUGUGAAACAUCCAGAUCCCGGGGGCAGUGCCUCCGUUCAGCAUCCCACGUGGCGACAUCCUCCGACAUAAUGGAAAACACCGGCAGGGGAGAGAGCAGAGCAGGAGGGGUAUUGGGUCCAUACCAUUGUGGGCAUUGCAAGUGCCAUGAUUGUGGUUAUUACUCAUAGAAGAUUCUAUUCCUGUGAGCGGAUUAAACAAAGUUGAGUAAACAUCAUCCAUACGAGAUACAUGUGCUAAUUAAGUUUAGAGGAGAAAGUGGUUCUUUAUUCUUGUAAUUUUGGUGCAGAUGUCAUAUAGGGGCAGAGAACAAUGGUCUUUUGUGACAGCCUGUUAACUUUUUGGAGCUGCCAGGUAAAAUUUGGUACGAAUUUAUGUCAGUUCUACCUUUCCAUGAUGUUUAAUUGCUCGGUUCUUAAGGGUUUGUAAGAGGAGAUGGAUUUUGGACUACUCUAUUUCGGAUGCCAGUAACGCAAAUCUGCAGAUGAAAAAUAAAAGAGUGUGCAUGGUGUUUUUUCUUAUAGAAUACUUUUAUAUGCCUUGUUCUAUUUUGCUUCAGGUUUAGGACUAUUUGGUCUGCUACAUAAUCCAUGUUUUCAACUGCAAAAUUUUAGUUUUAUUAUUAUCAUAUUUACUAUUUCUCAGUAGUAAUACAUAACACGUCACUGGUGAAAAGCCUACUGGAAAGAUUAAUUACUCAAUAAUGUUGUCUUAAGAAUAGUAGUAUUUGGCUCAAAGUAUAGGCACUGUAAUUUUUUUGUGAAAAGUUCUAGGAAGUUUGGAGCAAGUGAUUGGCCUAUAAUCUAAUUCAUAUUCAGGCUUGCUGAGAAUUUUUUACUACGAGAUAAGUAGAUGAUCAUUUAACCCACAACGAAGAUAAAGUAGAUUAUGGUGACCGAACUGAGCACAUGCUGACUUAGUGCUUCGACCCUUCAUGUUUAUGAUUCACUAAUUCUAGUCCUUCCAUUACUAUUGAACUAAAUUCAAAGUUGUUUCUAUGUCAAUUCGGUUGCAUGCUUGCCAUAGUUUAUCUCCCUAUUUUGUGCCCUGUUGAUUAGCUAAUUGGCAUGAGAAAGAAACAUUAUGCAUCUACAUGUAUCUUAUCUCUCUGAAGUAAUAAAAUUGUAGUGAGAUGAAGUGCCCACAAAAUUGGCAUGUUUAAAUAUAAAAUUAUUUCCUUCAAUGAUGGAUGAGACCUUUUAGCUUAGCUGCCAUGUUUUUUGAAUCAUAUAUAUAUAUCAUAGAUUUGUGAAACGGACUUACAAUGCUUUAUGUUUUUGGUCCUAGACUUAUACACGGGCGUUCAUUUUGCAUCCAGCGAUGAAUAUCAUUUUUAUAUCAAAGGAGACUUUCUGAACAGAGGAACUAUGGUCUGUCAAAGAUG
RNAcentral lists this long non-coding RNA (2879 nucleotides) under Triticum aestivum (bread wheat). RNAcentral describes it as "long non-coding RNA (TAES_LNC022926)". The record is from RNAcentral. Lineage: Eukaryota; Viridiplantae; Streptophyta; Magnoliopsida; Poales; Poaceae.